UAAAAAAUUUGAGAAGAAUCAAUCAUAUUAAUUGAAAGAAAAGCUUUCAAAACCUCUUAGAUGUUAGUUGCCUUCCUUCUUUAAUUUAAAUAUUAAUCUUCCUACAAAGAUUUCUCCUUAUUUAUUAUUCAAUUAUUCUAAAAAAUUUCUAGUAUGUAGGUAUUUAAGUCAAAUUUUCUUUCACUAAUUUUUGCUUCAAUCGAACUUAUAAAUAUUGCAAGAAUGGAAAAAUCCUCACUGAUCAUAAAUUUCAAUUAUUUGUAAUCCACAAUCCACAAAAACUCUCACAAUUUUCAAUCUAACUACUUGAUUGACAUCAAAUUUUUCACAUAUAUUUACAAGUACAUUAACAAAAUAAAAAAAAUUACUUAUAAAUAUAUUAUAACAUUUACAAAAUCAUU
RNAcentral lists this long non-coding RNA (401 nucleotides) under Physcomitrium patens. RNAcentral's name for it is "long non-coding RNA (PPAT_LNC002413)". Lineage: Eukaryota; Viridiplantae; Streptophyta; Bryopsida; Funariales; Funariaceae. The record is from RNAcentral.